Molecule: ribosomal RNA, 1130 nt
Filed under: Bacillus altitudinis
Lineage: Bacteria; Bacillati; Bacillota; Bacilli; Caryophanales; Bacillaceae
Description: bacterial SSU rRNA
Rfam family: Bacterial small subunit ribosomal RNA
Source: RNAcentral
CUAUACUGCAAGUCGAGCGGACAGAAGGGAGCUUGCUCCCGGAUGUUAGCGGCGGACGGGUGAGUAACACGUGGGUAACCUGCCUGUAAGACUGGGAUAACUCCGGGAAACCGGAGCUAAUACCGGAUAGUUCCUUGAACCGCAUGGUUCAAGGAUGAAAGACGGUUUCGGCUGUCACUUACAGAUGGACCCGCGGCGCAUUAGCUAGUUGGUGAGGUAACGGCUCACCAAGGCGACGAUGCGUAGCCGACCUGAGAGGGUGAUCGGCCACACUGGGACUGAGACACGGCCCAGACUCCUACGGGAGGCAGCAGUAGGGAAUCUUCCGCAAUGGACGAAAGUCUGACGGAGCAACGCCGCGUGAGUGAUGAAGGUUUUCGGAUCGUAAAGCUCUGUUGUUAGGGAAGAACAAGUGCAAGAGUAACUGCUUGCACCUUGACGGUACCUAACCAGAAAGCCACGGCUAACUACGUGCCAGCAGCCGCGGUAAUACGUAGGUGGCAAGCGUUGUCCGGAAUUAUUGGGCGUAAAGGGCUCGCAGGCGGUUUCUUAAGUCUGAUGUGAAAGCCCCCGGCUCAACCGGGGAGGGUCAUUGGAAACUGGGAAACUUGAGUGCAGAAGAGGAGAGUGGAAUUCCACGUGUAGCGGUGAAAUGCGUAGAGAUGUGGAGGAACACCAGUGGCGAAGGCGACUCUCUGGUCUGUAACUGACGCUGAGGAGCGAAAGCGUGGGGAGCGAACAGGAUUAGAUACCCUGGUAGUCCACGCCGUAAACGAUGAGUGCUAAGUGUUAGGGGGUUUCCGCCCCUUAGUGCUGCAGCUAACGCAUUAAGCACUCCGCCUGGGGAGUACGGUCGCAAGACUGAAACUCAAAGGAAUUGACGGGGGCCCGCACAAGCGGUGGAGCAUGUGGUUUAAUUCGAAGCAACGCGAAGAACCUUACCAGGUCUUGACAUCCUCUGACAACCCUAGAGAUAGGGCUUUCCCUUCGGGGACAGAGUGACAGGUGGUGCAUGGUUGUCGUCAGCUCGUGUCGUGAGAUGUUGGGUUAAGUCCCGCAACGAGCGCAACCNUUGAUCUUAGUUGCCAGCAUUCAGUUGGGCACUCUAAGGUGACUGCCGGUGACAAACC